GAGGGGGCGUAGGUGACCUGCGGAGGGACAUUACACAAAUAUGAAGGCGGGCUGGAACCUCUCGGGGUUACAGCCUUGCUGAAUUAUUCACCCUUGUCUUUUGCGUACUUCUUGUUUCCUUGGUGGGUUCGCCCACCACUAGGACAAACAUAAACCUUUUGUAAUUGCAAUCAGCGUCAGUAACAAAUUAAUAAUUACAACUUUCAACAACGGAUCUCUUGGUUCUGGCAUCGAUGAAGAACGCAGCGAAAUGCGAUAAGUAGUGUGAAUUGCAGAAUUCAGUGAAUCAUCGAAUCUUUGAACGCACAUUGCGCCCUUUGGUAUUCCAAAGGGCAUGCCUGUUCGAGCGUCAUUUGUACCCUCAAGCUUUGCUUGGUGUUGGGCGUCUUGUCUCUAGCUUUGCUGGAGACUCGCCUUAAAGUAAUUGGCAGCCGGCCUACUGGUUUCGGAGCGCAGCACAAGUCGCACUCUCUAUCAGCAAAGGUCUAGCAUCCAUUAAGCCUUUUUUUUCAACUUUUGACCUCGGAUCAGGUAGGGAUACCCGCUGAACUUAA
RNAcentral lists this ribosomal RNA (554 nucleotides) under Alternaria alternata. RNAcentral's name for it is "eukaryotic LSU rRNA". The stretch from base 199 to 352 matches the Rfam family "5.8S ribosomal RNA". The record is from RNAcentral. Lineage: Eukaryota; Fungi; Ascomycota; Dothideomycetes; Pleosporales; Pleosporaceae.